UACGUAGGGUGCGAGCGUUAAUCGGAAUUACUGGGCGUAAAGCGUGCGCAGGCGGUUUGCUAAGACCGAUGUGAAAUCCCCGGGCUCAACCUGGGAACUGCAUUGGUGACUGGCAGGCUAGAGUAUGGCAGAGGGGGGUAGAAUUCCACGUGUAGCAGUGAAAUGCGUAGAGAUGUGGAGGAAUACCGAUGGCGAAGGCAGCCCCCUGGGACGAGACUGACGCUCAUGCACGAAAGCGUGGGGAGCAAACAGG
RNAcentral lists this ribosomal RNA (253 nucleotides) under uncultured bacterium. RNAcentral's name for it is "partial 16S ribosomal RNA". It matches the Rfam family "Bacterial small subunit ribosomal RNA", at positions 524 to 776 of the family's 1533-position model. The record is from RNAcentral.